Molecule: ribosomal RNA, 219 nt
Filed under: Salmonella enterica
Lineage: Bacteria; Pseudomonadati; Pseudomonadota; Gammaproteobacteria; Enterobacterales; Enterobacteriaceae
Description: partial 23S ribosomal RNA
Rfam family: Bacterial large subunit ribosomal RNA
Source: RNAcentral
GUGUUCGGGUUGUCAUGCCAAUGGCACUGCCCGGUAGCUAAAUGCGGAAGAGAUAAGUGCUGAAAGCAUCUAAGCACGAAACUUGCCCCGAGAUGAGUUCUCCCUGAGGCUUUAGGUCUCCUGAAGGAACGUUGAAGACGACGACGUUGAUAGGCCGGGUGUGUAAGCGCAGCGAUGCGUUGAGCUAACCGGUACUAAUGAACCGUGAGGCUUAACCUU